UUGAACGCUGGCGGAAUGCUUUACACAUGCAAGUCGAACGGCAGCACGGGGGCAACCCUGGUGGCGAGUGGCGAACGGGUGAGUAAUGUAUCGGAACGUACCCAGUCGUGGGGGAUAACUAUCCGAAAGGAUAGCUAAUACCGCAUACGUCCUGAGGGAGAAAGCGGGGGAUCGCAAGACCUCGCGCGAUUGGAGCGGCCGAUAUCGGAUUAGCUAGUUGGUGAGGUAAAGGCUCACCAAGGCGACGAUCCGUAGCGGGUCUGAGAGGACGACCCGCCACACUGGAACUGAGACACGGUCCAGACUCCUACGGGAGGCAGCAGUGGGGAAUUUUGGACAAUGGGGGAAACCCUGAUCCAGCCAUUCCGCGUGAGUGAAGAAGGCCUUCGGGUUGUAAAACUCUUUCGGCAGGAACGAAACGGUGAGCUCUAACAUAGCUUGCUAAUGACGGUACCUGAAGAAGAAGCACCGGCUAACUACGU
This 482-nucleotide ribosomal RNA is filed under the name uncultured bacterium. Its description in RNAcentral is "bacterial SSU rRNA". It matches the Rfam family "Bacterial small subunit ribosomal RNA", at positions 30 to 506 of the family's 1533-position model. The record is from RNAcentral.